This 1249-nucleotide long non-coding RNA is filed under the name Fukomys damarensis (Damara mole-rat). Its description in RNAcentral is "lncRNA (ENSFDAG00000032982.1)". The record is from RNAcentral. Lineage: Eukaryota; Metazoa; Chordata; Mammalia; Rodentia; Bathyergidae.
GUGACAAUAACCACAGAAAUAACGCAGCAGACAGUGGCGGCUUCCGUGUGAGUCUAGCUUUGCGGCCCUGGAUGUCUCCGGUGCAGACGCAUUGAAUCUUUACUUAAGCCCUGGGGAGCAGGCAUCUUCACCUAGGCAGCACAGGGCGGGGUCUAGGAUUAGAGAAGUCACCACGUCCUCAGCCGUCCUCCUCAGCUCCCAGGGGUUGGGGGGUGGGUGGGAUGAGCCGGCUACAGUCAGAUCUGCGCGUGCAGGCAGGAAAACCGGCCCACGACAGCCUCUGCCUGAGACGCACCAGGGCUGAGGUCCUGCCGUGGCCUCUUCCCCUCCACCCUGCCUGAAGGAUGCACCUUCCGGGGGGAGCCCAAGCAGCAGGACUGGACCCCAGUGGGGGCAGAGCACAAAGCUGGCAGUGCCGGAUGCUCUGGUUUUAAAGGGACACAGAUGGCGGGAGGGAACUCUCUCUACCUGAGAUCCCCGGGGAAGAGAAGCAAAGGCACUGCGAUGUUCUAAAAAGCAAUUUGGAGAGAGAAAGAGGGCGUGCUGAGUUCCAACAUAAGAAGUCUUUCUUGUAUUGCUUGGACACAGCCUCGCUGGGGAACCCCCCUGCAUCACCCCAGCCCUGCACAGUGGCAGUCCGCAGGACUCGCUUGUAGAAGACAGAAGACAUCAGUGGUGUGUCCAGGACUAAGGGCAUUCCGUGUCUGCAGGAAGCUUGGACAAGAAAACGCAGCCCUUCAGGGAAGACAAAGGGACACCACCAGGGACGGCGAGGGAGCCAACUCUGCUCUGUGCCAGCCCUGGCCCAGUCCCAUCGCUUUCCGAAGGCUCUGCCACACCCAGGGGUCCACGGUCCUGGCCACCACACCAGCCCUGCUCCAGGUGUCCCCACCCACGACAGCCUGCCAGAUGCUAGGACCCCGUUCCCAGCCCUUCCGCUGACCGGGGCAAGGCUCCGUCCCUCCUCAGUGAUGCCCACCAGGCCUGUGGUCUUCUUCCUGCCCCGGGAGCCUCCUUCUCGGUCAUUGCUACCCACCCUCACCCGGGUAUCUCGGUCACCCUGCUGUGCGGAGGUCACACAUCUUCCGUCUCCGGGGUCGAUUAGGGACAGAAACGCGAGCGCAGGAACUGCUGAGUGCCGAGGUUGUGGUGCUCCUCGGGCUCCCGGAGGUGGCACACAGUGCCCAGCUCAUGCCGCAUGGCCUGGGACACAGCCCUGGGCAGCUCAGCGGGCCCUGACUGUGAGGAG